AAACCGUUCAGGGGUAAACCUGAGAAACCCAAAAGAUCGAAUGGGGAGAUUCAUCGAUAACGGGGCUGGCUUCCGUUGAUGCGCGAUACCCCGAAUGGGCCUUCGUGGUUCCAAUGCGAGGGUACACCGUCUUCGGCAAAUGUUCCGGCUACGUAGUCGUGCACUUCUCCCCUGGUAGAACGUCGCGACCCGUUGCGUGUCGGUCUACGGCCCGAGUUUGUUGACUGUCGCGUCGCUUCGCGCGUACACGGCAGACGCUCGAUCGCCCGGCCGGCUGCGUGACGGUACUCUGUGAACGGUAUCGGGCCGCAACCAAUCCAUUUUUUCGAAUGUGUGUGCGUCAGGCCCGCCGCAAGCUCGGUUAGUAAUUACCCGGAGGUACGGACCUGGUGCCGGCUCCGGGCCUAGCCAGCUGUUAGCAGGCGGUGUCCUCGGACUGGCCAAGCUUUGAAUUACCGGUCAGCGACGCUACUGCUUUGGGUCCUCUCAGGACCCGUCUUGAAACACGGACCAAGGAGUCUAACAUGUGCGCGAGUCACUGGGACUUGUAAACCUAAAGGCAUAAUGAAAGUAAAAGUCGACCUUCGCGUCGACCGAGGGAGGAUGGGCCGCGUCACGAUGCGGCCUCGCACUCCCGGGGCGUCUCGUUGUCAUUGCGAUAAGAGGCGCACCCAGAGCGUACACGUUGGGACCCGAAAGAUGGUGAACUAUGCCUGGUCAGGACGAAGUCAGGGGAAACCCUGAUGGAGGUCCGUAGCGAUUCUGACGUGCAAAUCGAUCGUCGGAACUGGGUAUAGGGGCGAAAGACUAAUCGAACCAUCUAGUAGCUGGUUCCCUCCGAAGUUUCCCUCAGGAUAGCUGGCACUCGCUCGUUCCUUUAAAAUGGAACGCGUGCGAGUCUCAUCUGGUAAAGCGAAUGAUUAGAGGCCUUGGGGCCGAAACGACCUCAACCUAUUCUCAAACUUUAAAUGGGUGAGAUCUCUGGCUUGCUUGUAUCAAUAUGAAGCCAAGAGAAUAUAAAUAUAUAAUAUCCUUCAUGAAUUUGUCGGAUUUUUUUUUUAUAUAUAUGGAUCAGAGUGCCAAGUGGGCCAUUUUUGGUAAGCAGAACUGGCGCUGUGGGAUGAACCAAACGUAGAGUUAAGGCGCCUAAGUCGACGCUUAUGGGAUACCAUGAAAGGCGUUGGUUGCUUAARACAGCAGGACGGUGGCCAUGGAAGUCGGAA
This 1223-nucleotide ribosomal RNA is filed under the name Augochloropsis metallica. RNAcentral's name for it is "eukaryotic LSU rRNA". It matches the Rfam family "Eukaryotic large subunit ribosomal RNA", at positions 402 to 1266 of the family's 3401-position model. Lineage: Eukaryota; Metazoa; Arthropoda; Insecta; Hymenoptera; Halictidae. The record is from RNAcentral.